AUACGUAGGGUGCAAGCGUUAAUCGGAAUUACUGGGCGUAAAGCGUGCGCAGGCGGUUUUGUAAGACAGAGGUGAAAUCCCCGGGCUCAACCUUGGAACUGCCUUUGUGACUGCAAGGCUAGAGUACGGCAGAGGGGGAUGGAAUUCCGCGUGUAGCAGUGAAAUGCGUAGAUAUGCGGAGGAACACCGAUGGCGAAGGCAAUCCCCUGGGCCUGUACUGACGCUCAUGCACGAAAGCGUAGGGAGCAAACAGGAUUAGAUACCCUGGCAGUCCACGCCCUAAACGAUGUCAACUGGUUGUUGGGUCUUCAUGGACUCAGUAACGAAGCUAACGCGUGAAGUUGACCGCCUGGGGAGUACGGCCGCAAGGUUGAAACUCAAAUGAAUUGACGGGG
RNAcentral lists this ribosomal RNA (395 nucleotides) under uncultured bacterium. Its description in RNAcentral is "partial 16S ribosomal RNA". It matches the Rfam family "Bacterial small subunit ribosomal RNA", at positions 523 to 918 of the family's 1533-position model. The record is from RNAcentral.